UCUCUAGGAUUGUUUGAUCUAGCAAAGGGCUCUUCUCAAUGACUUUAAUAAACCUCGAUGAACGAAUCCUAACCCAUAACCACCAAGCAGCAUGCUGGCACCCACCCUGAUCAGGCCAGGUGCUACUAGGUUGGAUGACCCAAGAUUUAUGUAGAACCAUUUGUACCUUAGUUUAAGCAUGAUCAGGUGACAUCAGCAUGGUCAGAUUGAUCAAGAUAUCGGACACUUCUACUUGACCAACCCUGCGAUAGUGUUGGAACUUAGAAUUUUUAUUUAUUAAUGGUUGGAUUUUGAUAAAAAUGUAUAAUUUUGGAUAUCAGGUUCUGAAGAAGAAUCUGGAGGUUAGUUGGAGUUGUCUACCCAUUGUUCAUGCAAAGUAAUGAUCUACCUUUCCUAGAUUUUUCUUUAUAUGAUAUUAUAUUUAGCAUCAAAUUAGUUAUCAAUCAAUUUAUAUGUGAUUUGCGAAUUUUAUGAAAUUGGGUUUUGAAUAGAAAAUUGAUACAAAAUUUUGAAGUAAUAUUUUUAGGCUAUUAUUAUAUUGUUUAAUGAUCUUAUGUCAUGUAUGCAUAUUUUGAUUGGAUUUGGACUCUCAACUUGACUAUAUUCUGGAUUGUGCCAAUUAGGGAUAAUGCACUUUACUAUUAUUGAGCUCACUGUUCUGUUUUUGAUUCGACCACAAAAUAUAAAUAUGAUAUUC
This 697-nucleotide long non-coding RNA is filed under the name Elaeis guineensis (African oil palm). RNAcentral's name for it is "long non-coding RNA (EGUI_LNC042590)". The record is from RNAcentral. Lineage: Eukaryota; Viridiplantae; Streptophyta; Magnoliopsida; Arecales; Arecaceae.